Etheostoma cragini (Arkansas darter) is the source of this 204-nucleotide long non-coding RNA. RefSeq lists it as uncharacterized. NCBI's taxonomy places the organism in Eukaryota, Metazoa, Chordata, Actinopteri, Perciformes, Percidae. The transcript has 3 exons. The record is from RefSeq and is a predicted model, not a curated record.
CAGCAUGUGUGACAGAAGUGGCACUUACACACACAAAGUGACCAGGUCACCUCUUUGAUGAAACUGCAGCGGUGCAUACUGGAGAGAAACUAAAGUAUUGAUCUCAUUAGACUGGUACUGAUCAAUAUCAAUACCAAUGUUGGUAUCAAUAUUAUUGAUAUUUGGAUUGAUCCGCCCACCACUAACCACCGCGUUCCUGGACCG